This 346-nucleotide RNase P RNA is filed under the name human gut metagenome. Its description in RNAcentral is "Bacterial RNase P class A". It matches the Rfam family "Bacterial RNase P class A". Rfam says of the family: Ribonuclease P (RNase P) is a ubiquitous endoribonuclease, found in archaea, bacteria and eukarya as well as chloroplasts and mitochondria. Its best characterised activity is the generation of mature 5'-ends of tRNAs by cleaving the 5'-leader elements of precursor-tRNAs. The record is from RNAcentral.
AGGCAGUCGCUCCGGCACGGUGCAAACCGGGACGGAGAGGAAAGUCCGGACUACACAGAGCGGGGAGUCCUUUUGAAAAGAAGGAUACUGCGGACCAUAUGCCGCAGGAAGGCCAGUGCCACAGAAAAAAUACCGCCGCGGCGCAAGUCGCGGUAAGGGUGAAAUGGCGGGGUAAGAGCCCACCGGGCGGUUGCGAGAGCGCCGCUGCAAGGUAAACCCCUCCCGUAGCAAGACCAAAUAGGGGAUGAUGCUGCUGCUCGCAGCGCCAGCAAUCCCGGGUUCUGGUCGCUUAGACAGAUGAUUGCCGUCUCCGCCGGCCGGCGGGGAAACAGAAUUCGGCUUAUGC